AACGAACGCUGGCGGCAUGCCUAACACAUGCAAGUCGAACGAUGCCUUCGGGCAUAGUGGCGCACGGGUGCGUAACGCGUGGGAAUCUGCCCUUGGGUUCGGAAUAACUCAGAGAAAUUCGAGCUAAUACCGGAUGAUGACGUAAGUCCAAAGAUUUAUCGCCCAAGGAUGAGCCCGCGUAAGAUUAGCUAGUUGGUGGGGUAAAGGCCUACCAAGGCGACGAUCUUUAGCUGGUCUGAGAGGAUGAUCAGCCACACUGGGACUGAGACACGGCCCAGACUCCUACGGGAGGCAGCAGUGGGGAAUAUUGGACAAUAGGCGAAAGCCUGAUCCAGCAAUGCCGCGUGAGUGAUGAAGGCCUUAGGGUUGUAAAGCUCUUUUACCAGGGAUGAUAAUGACAGUACCUGGAGAAUAAGCUCCGGCUAACUCCGUGCCAGCAGCCGCGGU
This 447-nucleotide ribosomal RNA is filed under the name uncultured bacterium. Its description in RNAcentral is "bacterial SSU rRNA". It matches the Rfam family "Bacterial small subunit ribosomal RNA", at positions 29 to 521 of the family's 1533-position model. The record is from RNAcentral.